This 446-nucleotide ribosomal RNA is filed under the name Micrococcus luteus. Its description in RNAcentral is "bacterial SSU rRNA". It matches the Rfam family "Bacterial small subunit ribosomal RNA", at positions 28 to 488 of the family's 1533-position model. Lineage: Bacteria; Bacillati; Actinomycetota; Actinomycetes; Micrococcales; Micrococcaceae. The record is from RNAcentral.
GAUGAACGCUGGCGGCGUGCUUAACACAUGCAAGUCGAACGAUGAAGCCCAGCCUGCUGGGCGGAUUAGUGGCGAACGGGUGAGUAACACGUGAGUAACCUGCCCUUGGCUCUGGGAUAAGCCCGGGAAACUGGGUCUAAUACCGGAUAGGAGCGCCUGUCGCAUGACGGGUGCUGGAAAGAUUUUUCGGUCAUGGAUGGACUCGCGGCCUAUCAGCUUGUUGGUGAGGUAACGGCUCACCAAGGCGACGACGGGUAGCCGGCCUGAGAGGGUGACCGGCCACACUGGGACUGAGACACGGCCCAGACUCCUACGGGAGGCAGCAGUGGGGAAUAUUGCACAAUGGGCGGAAGCCUGAUGCAGCGACGCCGCGUGAGGGAUGACGGCCUUCGGGUUGUAAACCUCUUUCAGUAGGGAAGAAGCGAAAGUGACGUACCUGCAGAAGA